Mycena vitilis is the source of this 81-nucleotide non-coding RNA. Lineage: Eukaryota; Fungi; Basidiomycota; Agaricomycetes; Agaricales; Mycenaceae. The record is from the annotation of a GenBank genome assembly.
GCCUUGCUGGCUCAAUCGGUAGAGCGUGAGACUGAGGGGCUGCAUCGACCCAGGCUGCGGGUUCGACGCCCGCGUGGGGAU